CAGACAGUGGUGAAAAAGAAAGAGAAGGUCUCAGUUUUUGCCCUCGACGCUGACACUGUUCUCACAGCUUUCAGUGGAGGCUACAGGGGAGGUUUCAGAGGCCAAAAGAGAGGGAGAGGAAUGCGUAGGGGAAGAGCAAGAGGUAGAGACAGGCCUAGACACACACCAAGCAGUGGUUUUAGUACUAUAUGCUGGAGGUGUGGAAAAGAGGGACAUUUUGUACGUGACUGUAAGAAACAAAGAAGCAGUUCAGAAUAGGAAGAACAUAAUAAUCCCUCACCAAGUAAAAAAUUAGAGAUCCAAGUAUAAGUUUAAAAAGGGCUGGAUACAGACCCAACUGAAUACAUAUAAAUGCAAGAGGAAUAAAGUUAAAUAAAACAACUGUAAUGUAUUCAAAUUGAUAAAAGCAAGGAUAACAACCUGUAAACUGGUAUGAACAAUGAAACAUAGUUAGGAUGAAGACCGUGCCCAGACUGAAUAGAACGAAAGAAAAUACAUAACUCACACAAACACAUAUUAAAUGAAAUAGAGAGAUGCAUAAGGUAUAUUAAGGCUGUGUCAUUGUUCAGCCAAGGAAAAUGUGUGAAAAGGAAAAUGUCUCCAGCUUGGGAAGGGGUGAGACUGCAGCUCACCCUCAGCCCUUGGUGGACACAAAUAAAAUAUAAAUAAAAUAUUGUAAUAUACUAUUGCUGUUAUAUAAAAAGAUAAUAACAUUAAUAAUGAAAUAAUAUUAAUAUGAAGAGGCACCUCAGUCAGUUGUGAUGUGAGGUGGAUAAUUGUUAGAAGUAGUCUGCAUCAAGCUUAAGGUUGCUCAAAUUCAGUAUAAUGACAUAUGAAAUGAAGAAAAUAAAGAAAAUAUGUAAACUACUUAAGUGCAUAGAGGCACUUGACCUGCUCGAAAACCUGUCAUCCUAGAUGAGACAUUGCUGAAAUAUAGAGCACACCUAUACUAACAACUAAAAACCCUGUAUACAACAGCUAAAGCUACACAAUUGAGAAGCUGAAUUAAAUAUAUGGUCACUGCUAAGCUGAUGAGCAGGAGCUGCAUAAGAACACAUCAGAGGGAGGGAAACAGCUAUUAAAGCUCAAACAUGAAGCUAUCUGUGGGCUCAGUUUUUUGUUUUUUUUUUCCUCAUGCUUCUGAUUUGUCUUUGGCAGCAGCCUUUUUGCAUCCUGACUCGUGUGUAAAGUGUUCAAGCCAUCGGUAACUUGUUUUUUGUUUUGUUUUGUUUUUUGUUUUGUUGGGUUGAAAAAUGAAUAAAUUUGUGAUCAUACUUGUGGAUCACAGUAACACAUAAUGAUUAGGCAUAUGAUUUACUAAUGCAGAUAUAAUAACUUUAUUCUAAAAUUCAAGGAGAACAAACAAGAACAACAUCUUCAGUUGUGUAUUGUUGUUGUUCUCUGUGUAGUGUGCUGAGUUUUGUUUUUGUUUCUUUUGUUUUUUGAAAUGUUGCUUGAGUGAUGAGUACUGUAACUUCUGUUCAGAGCCAGCUGAGAGCUGGGUUGUCUGUUUUGUUUUAGGUGACAAGCCAGAAAAGUUAAAACUUAGUUUCUUGUUUUGAAAAAGAAAAAAGGGAAAAAAAGGGAGGUUUUGUGUUUCUCAGCCAAGAACAACUACAAUUUAAUUUUAUGUUUUUGAGAAAGGAGAAUUUAUAACAAUAAUAAUAAUAAAACAAAGAGUGAUGUUUUGCUUAAGUGUUGAAGCAGGCUAAUACUGCAACAUAUAAAUAAACUCCAAUUAUGGAGACCUGAAGUCACAUGCUUAGGGCACACCCUCAGGUGAAGGCAGAAAGCUACUAAACAAAGAAAAGAAGCUAUAGAAAAUGCGCCACAGCCACAAACUAAGCAUUCAUAUUCUUUCUAACUCUUAGUGAGCCUGAGUUAUGACCUUGGCUCCCUGUUUUUCUGCCUCCACCAAAGGUGGGGGUGAAGCUCCCGUGGCAUGUGCUCUG
Molecule: long non-coding RNA, 1952 nt
Organism: Oreochromis aureus
Lineage: Eukaryota; Metazoa; Chordata; Actinopteri; Cichliformes; Cichlidae
Source: Ensembl